Non-coding RNA from Nothobranchius furzeri (turquoise killifish), 4372 nucleotides. The record is from RefSeq and is a predicted model, not a curated record. NCBI's taxonomy places the organism in Eukaryota, Metazoa, Chordata, Actinopteri, Cyprinodontiformes, Nothobranchiidae.
AGCUUUGAAUAAAAAUGUUUUAUUGUUGUUGUUUUUUCCCCCCAACUUACUUAAUGUCUUAAUAAACUUCCCUUUACCUGGAUAAAGAGGUUAAGAAACUGAAUUUCGCCUUAAAAAUAAUAACUGAACAAUCUCUGAGGCAUCUAUCACCCCUUAAAAAUGUGCAAAGUGGUUUAGUCCACACCAGCGGCCAGGGGCUGCACGGCCGCAUGUACAGCUAUGACACAUCGCAGAUGCCGACAGCCAGAGCUGGAGGCAGGAGAGUCAGUCGUGUAUUUUCCCAAGAAAGGGAAAUCUGGCUUCCAGAAAAGAAAAGAAAAGAAAAGAAGGAGAAGGAGGAAAAGUUAAUUGAACAGAAGCAAGUAGAAGGAAGGUGAGCAGCAGCAGCAGAACACAGUUUUAGCUGAUAUUAGCUAGCUCUCAGAAGCUGCAUUCAUGUUAGGUGUUCAGUGUUAAACGCCUUUAGUUUCACCAUCAAGAUCAAAUAUAAAUUUAGUGUUAUCAGUGAUAACACUAAUUAAUAUAUAUAUUAAUCAGAAUUAUUAUCGCGGGCGGCCGCCGCCAAUUACUUUGCGGACCUCGCAGUAAAAACAGGUUCACUCUGUGUGGAUAUUUCAGCUCCUUCCCAGUCAUGGACCAGGACAAACUUGGUAUCGAUGGAUUCGUGGUAAUCUCAGGAACGUGAAGCUGCCACUGUUUUUCGUAUAGCAUGAUGACACUGGUGUUAGAGGAUUGUUAUUGACUUGGUUAGAUAUUUUAAGCCUAUUUUAAAUUUCUUUAUAUUUGAUCUUGAAAACGGGCAAACUUAUAAUUUGGCUGAUAAUGCAGGGAUUAUAAAAUUUAGAGUACAUUACAUUCACAGAGAGAACCUGGUUUAUUUCAUGUCAUAUGUAUUUAAUAUAUCAAUACAUAUCAGCAAAGCUUAAUAUCAUGAACCAUGACAGACAUGACUGAAGAGCAGAUGAAGAUAUCAUGCCAGGCACUGAUGAGAAAAUAUUACAAGGAUCUCACAGCUGAAUUUGAGAAUGAGAUGCUACACCUGACAACAAUAUAUGGUGCCACAUUUCCACACAUUCGGUCUCCUCUCUAGCUGCUUAAUGCCAUCUACAGGAUGCAAUUACAGAGCAUUUUUGGAGAAGUUUGUAUUGGACUGAGGAUAUUUUGCACACUACCUGUGACUGUUGCUGGGGUGAACGGGCUUUUAGCAAACUGAAACUGGUGAAAAAUUAUUUGAGAUCAACAAUGUCCCAGGAUAGACUGAACAGCCUAGCUCUUCUUUCUAUUGAAAGCCAAUUAGCCAAAGGAUUGGACUUUAAAGAUCUCAUAAGUGAUUUUGCUAACAUGAAGACCUGUCAGUGAGCAUUUACUGGAAAAUAAAUUCCAGGAUUUUUGUUUGAACACAUUGUUGGCAAAUUAAAAUAAUUAUAUGUGAAGUCUGGGCAUUUCACUUUUAUUAUGCUGGCAUUUGUAUUUGCUCAAUAUAGAGGUUAAACUAAGAUCAUAUUUAUUAUCUUGUCUUAUAGCAUGACAAAAAAUGUGUAAGAGAGAUAUUAAGUGAGCAUGGGGGCCCACCUAGAAGACUUGUACAUAGGACCCAGAAUUUGGUGCUACGCCCCUGAUCAUGAGUAUAAACAAAGUGAAGGUGUGAACCCAAACAAAGUCAUCUUUUUGAAACAUUUAGGGAGGGAACGCCUGGAUGAAAAGGUGAGUUUUUAGAUGAUUUUUAAAGACCUCUACAGUGUUAGAGUGACGGAGAUUUGAAGGUAGACUGUUCCAAAGUCUGGGUGCAAUAGUCUGAAAGGCCCUGUCCCCUUUGGUUUUCAGUCUGGUUCGAGGAUCAGCCAGGAGGUUUUCAGAUGUGGAUCUAAGGUUCCGAGAGGUGGUGUGUGGGGAUAAAAGCUCAGAUAGGUAGCUUGGAGCCUGGUUGUUAAGAGCUCUAUAGGUCAGGACUAAAACUUUAAACUGUAUUCUAUUUUCUACCGGGAGCCAGUGGAGGGACUGUAAAACUGGAGUGAUGUGAGCUCGUCUGCUGGAUUUGGUUAGGAGUCUGGCUGCUGCAUUUUGGAUGGCUUGAAGGCGUGAGAGGGAGGUUUUGCUGAGACCAGUAAAAAGAGCGUUACAGUAGUCUAAGCGUGAUGACACAAAGGCAUGGAUGAUUUUUUCCAGAUCUGCAGUAGAAACCAGUUUACGGACUUUUGAAAUGUUUCUCAGUUGAAAGAAACAAGAGCGGGAGAUGGUUUUGACGUGUGAGUCUAAACUUAAAGCUGGAUCAAAAAUAACUCCUAGGUUUCUAAUGUUGGCCUUGGCUGAUGGGCAAAAAGAGGCAAUUUCCUGCUCGAUUUUUGGCUGAAGUUCCGGGGGUGCAGCGAUCAGGGUCUCUGUCUUGUUAGCACUUAGGACAAGAAAGUUGCUGGACAGCCAGUUACUGAUCUGGGUCAGGCGGAGUACAAGGGUGGCCAGCCUGUCCAACUGGUGUGGCAUAAAGGACAUAUAGAGCUGAAUAUCGUCAGCGUAGAUGUUGUAGCGUUAUGGAUUUAUGCUCUUUUAUGAAAGAGAAACCAGGCUACGUAUUAAUUCGGAAUAUUAAUUUUAAUAAAUCAAUAACCAAAUUUUAUAUUGUUCAGAAGACUCAAAGGUUGUUUUCAUCGAUAAACUGACGAUAAUAUCUGAGUGUCUGUGUUUCAGUUCAAUGAGGAAACCAGUUUCACAAUUAAAAGUUUUAAUUCAUCAAAUUAAACUAAUGAUUUUGAAAUUGACAAACAGGAAAUACAAUCAACAUUGGUAACUUUGUGGGACAAUCUUUUUAACAGUUGAUAUGCUGUUCUGGCUCAAAUAGACCUUCUGAUGAAUUUAUGAAGAUUGAGAAUGUUGUGAGUUGUGCUGGUGAUAUGAGAUGAGAUGGAUGCGUGUGUGCAUCUGAUUUUGCUUCAGGAAGAAACAGGUGUCUGAGUGAAAAGUGAUGGUUUGAAUAGACUUAGGUUUAGUGGAAAAGAUGCAUCAAAACGCUAUCUGUCGUGUUUUGCCUCACCGAAAAUCGGACCCUCUGUUGGACCCGGGACGUCACCUUAGGAUGUUUCAUCCAGGGCACCUUGGCUGGCAAAGAAGACAAAGAUGCGCUGCGAACCGGUCCAGAGUUGUCCUCGGUACACGUUGAUGGUAAAGCGUUUUGUCGACGCGCUUUCUUAAAGAGCAAGUAACGUCUAAAUUAACUUUUUUUUGCUGAUGAACUGUAUAAAUGAGUGUCUAAUAGUGUUUUAAAUGUGUGCAUUCUUUAUUUUAGCAUUUUGGUGCAUUUUCUUUAAAAAUUAAAAAUUCUGUCUAAAAACCACAGUAAUGCGCCACCUUCAGCUGAAAACAUAGAAUUUGAGUCAUUUUGAAUAAAUUUUAGCCAAUGGCUAAAGAGUAAAGUACUACGUAAACCAGUAGAGUACUACGUAGCAGCUCCGUGCCAAAGUUAUAAAAGCAACGAGCGUCUCGGCCACGCCCUGUGGCGAGUGGGAGUUGGAUUUGCAAGCGAGUGUAGGAGGUCAGCGGUAGUUCAGCAUUAGCGUAUAGCAUUAGCAUAUCCUAGUCUUUAGCAUAUCUUUUAGUGUUAUAAAUACUUAUUUAGUGUUAGCUUGGCUGUUGUAUAUUAUAGUUUAGUUAGUGUUUGGCUGUUAGUGUAAUUGGGAAAGUAGUUCGGGUUUAGUGUUCCAUAUCGUCUUAGUAUUGGUGAGAUGGUGUAAUGUAGUAUGGUUGCGGUGACUCUGUGGGCAUUUUACCCGCGAUUCUGCACGUCUCCGUUUGAAGAGGGAGGCUGUGCCCACCGUGGCUCUUCCGCGAUUUAGAUGCAGCCCACCGACUCUGCUCCCCCACCACGGCGGGCUCCAGUCUGAGGCUAAAUCUACCCAAGACACUGGCUGUCAGACUGAUUUAGCUGCAAGAAUGCACUUGUCCAGGCUGAUGUGAAACCUUCCCUGUAGCAAAGCCAGCCAGAAUGGAGUUCACAGCCGCAGUGUGUCUGGUGACCCACGGGGACCAUGAUGAAAAUUCAUCUUCCAGAAGGUCCCAGAGCGUCCAGACCCCCUGAAAAGACCAAGGUGUGAGGUGUCUGCUGUUGAUUCCAGCUUCCACCUCAGUGACAGUGCAAGCUCAGUGAACUGUUCAAGCCUGGCUGAUCACCUGAUAACUCCUGUCAUCUGGUUAUGACAGCAUGAGGAUGUCCUCACACACCUGUAACCUAUCAGCUCAUCUGGCAGAAUAGAGAGAGAAGAGACAACACCACAUCUCCUGUUCCUGGAAAGCCUUCAGCCUUCCUUCGAUGACUGAGAACCUCCAUCAGCUCUGUCUCCUGUCUGCCUACAAUUAUUAUAAUAAAUAUUGUGUUUGACAA